This 552-nucleotide long non-coding RNA is filed under the name Zonotrichia albicollis (white-throated sparrow). Its description in RNAcentral is "lncRNA (ENSZALG00000002710.1)". The record is from RNAcentral. Lineage: Eukaryota; Metazoa; Chordata; Aves; Passeriformes; Passerellidae.
CCCCAACUUCACCACCAUGGAGAGCUGAUUUAUUUCAUUUUCCUUGACGUAGAAACAAAACAAAACUCCCAGGACCUGUGCCAAGGCUCGAGCGCAUUUAAAUGAGCAAACAGCAACAAAAAAAAGUUGUUUGUGAUCCUUUUGGGCCGGAAUAUUAAAACCAUGAUGGGGGUUAUGCUCUGUGCACACCACGAAGUGCAGGAAAAUGGAACCCUGAGCCACCACUUGGUGCUGCAGAUGUUGGAGGGACACAAAAUCCAGAUGUGGGCAGGGAAAAUCCCCGCUCAGUUCCUCAGUUCCCUGUUGGACACAGCUCCUUUUCCCAAUGCUGAGGUGCCUUUAUCCCAAAAAAUGGGAGCUGUUCCCAUCUCACAAAGAGUGAGGGGCAAACAGCCCUGCCUGCAGCUGCUGGGGGCGCAGGAUGUGAUGGAGGCACCCCCAAAAUUUCACAUCUCAAGGGAAAACCCAGCCUGAAUCCCGAGUUUCUCUGCAAACCCACCGAGUCCAGAACAAAAGCAGCGCGGAUUAAUAAAAGGGGGGAAAGGAAAAACA